AUUGAACGCUGGCGGCAUGCUUUACACAUGCAAGUCGAACGGCAGCGCGGGCUUCGGCCUGGCGGCGAGUGGCGAACGGGUGAGUAAUACAUCGGAACGUGACCAGUAGUGGGGGAUGGCUGGGCGAAGGGGGGAUUAAUACCGCAUAGGACAUGAGGGUGAAAGGGGGGGAUCUUUGGACAUGGGGGUAUUGGAGCGCCCGGUGGCAGAUUGGCGAGUUGGUGGGGUAAAGGCCUACCAAGGCGACGAUCUGUAGCUGGUCUGAGAGGACGACCAGCCACACUGGGACUGAGACACGGCCCAGACUCCUACGGGAGGCAGCAGUGGGGAAUUUUGGACAAUGGGCGAAAGCCUGAUCCAGCAAUGCCGCGUGUGUGAUGAAGGCCUUCGGGUUGUAAAGCACUUUUGGCGGGAACGAAAAGGACUGUGCCAAUACCACGGUUCGAUGACGGUACCCGCAGAAUAAGCACCGGCUAACUACGUG
Molecule: ribosomal RNA, 484 nt
Filed under: uncultured bacterium
Lineage: Bacteria
Description: partial 16S ribosomal RNA
Rfam family: Bacterial small subunit ribosomal RNA
Source: RNAcentral